This 363-nucleotide unclassified non-coding RNA is filed under the name uncultured bacterium. Its description in RNAcentral is "contains 16S-23S intergenic spacer region". The record is from RNAcentral.
UCCCUGUUACCAGGGCAGUCUAAGUAGAAAAAUUCAACUACUUACAAGGGUUGCGCUCGUUAAUGGACUUAACCAAACAUCUCACGACACGAGCUGACGACGGCCAUGCAACACCUGUCACUUGAUUCCCGAAGGCACUCUUUCCUUUCGGAAAGAUUCCAAGGAUGUCAAACCUGGGUAAGGUUCUUCGCUUUGCAUCGAAUUAAACAACACGCUCCACCGCUUGUGCGGGUCCCCGUCAAUUCCUUUAUGUUUUAAGCUUGCGCUCGUACUCCACAGGCGGGAUGCUUAACGCGUUAGCUUCGCUACUACCCGGGUCGAUACGGAUAACAGCUAGCAUCCAUCGUUUACGGCGUGGACUAC